GAAGAAAUGGAAGAGAUGCUUUGGAAGUAAAAGUUGUCAAUGACAAGCCUGACAUCACCCAAAGGCCAGCUCUUUUUACAGUAAACCAGGAUGCAGCUGACAAGACAGACUCCAGUAAGAAAAGCACG
Long non-coding RNA from Sinocyclocheilus anshuiensis, 128 nucleotides. RefSeq lists it as uncharacterized. Lineage: Eukaryota; Metazoa; Chordata; Actinopteri; Cypriniformes; Cyprinidae. The transcript is spliced from 3 exons. The record is from RefSeq and is a predicted model, not a curated record.